Molecule: ribosomal RNA, 216 nt
Filed under: Glomeromycotina sp.
Lineage: Eukaryota; Fungi; Glomeromycota
Description: partial small subunit ribosomal RNA
Rfam family: Eukaryotic small subunit ribosomal RNA (bases 40-216)
Source: RNAcentral
GGGUCAGUGGGUUGGUCGUGCCACCGGUACGUACUGGCCUCACUGAUUCCUCCUUCCUGAAGAACCGUAAUGCCAUUAAUUUGGUGUUGCGGGGAAACAGGACUGUUACUUUGAAAAAAUUAGAGUGUUUAAAGCAAGCUAACGCUUGAAUACAUUAGCAUGGAAUAAUGAAAUAGGACGAUCGAUCCUAUUUUGUUGGUUUCUAGGAUUGACGUA